CUUUUAUAACUCCAUCUUCCUCCUCCAACCGAUUAGCUACAAACAUGGCAGUCAUGAAGAUUUUUGGAACGCCUUUAUCUGUGAACGUAGCACGAGUGAUCGCCGUAAUGAAUGAGAAGAACCUGGAAUACGAACUCGUCGAUGUAAAUCUUCACAACGGUGACCAUAAAAAGGAGCCUUUCCUCUCCAUGAAUGUAAGCUUUGUUGUUAAUUUUCUCCCUUUCUUUUGACAAAUGCUUUGGAAUGGUUAAUCCUGAUUAUAAGGUCUAAAUUUGUUUUUCAGCCAUUCGGACAAGUUCCUGCUUUCCAGGAUGAUGACAUCAAGCUCUUUGGUAAAAAAAUAAAAAACAAUCUUUAUUUCUUCUUUCUAUUCUUAUAAAUAGAUUUAUAUUUGAUUCUUAAAUCAAUUCAUAUGCCAGAAUCAAGAGCGAUCUGCAAUUACAUCGUUUUCAAAUAUAAGACAGAAGGCACUGACCUUACUCACCUUGCUGACCUAAAAGAAGGUUCGAUAGUAGGUGUGUGGUGCGAAGUAGAGGCACACCAGUUCAACCCUUUGGUCAGUGGUAUAAUGUAUGAGUACAUCUUCACGAAAUUCUUGGGAGGCGAGACAAAUGAAUCCAAGAUUGAAGAAUAUUGCGCAAAGCUCACGACUGUGCUUGAUGUCUAUGAAGAGAGGCUCAAGACCUGCAAGUACUUGGCUGGUGACAAAUUCUCAAUGGCCGAUCUACAUCACUGUCCCUAUUUGGAAUUAUUCAUGAAGACGCCAAAGGCUGAGAUGGUCACUUCAAGGCCUCACGUGUUAGCUUGGUGGCAGGAUAUCUCCAGCCGUCCGGCAUGGGUGAAAGCCUCCAGUGGUAUGCAAAUUCCGUCGGCCUAGAAGUGCUUAGAUGGAAUGGAUAAUUCAUCGUGUUGUAUCGAGGAGUAAUAAUAGUAAAUAAAACGACAACAUGAGAAUAUAUAUAUAUUGUGAUUUGAAUCCUAUAUAUACAUGGUUAUUGUGACCAGUUGAGUUAAUCUUUUGUAUAUUUAUAUAGGAUGCACUUUAAGUGCACCGUAUAUUGAAUGCAUCACUGUCUGUUAUCAAAUUGUGACCAUUAGUAUUUAAUUUAAUGACUAAAAUAACGUACUGAAUAAGACAUUAACACAUGUACGACGCAAAAUGAUGUAUUGCAUAAGAUACUAACACAUGUACGACGUAAAAUCGAUUUAAUGGACAUGAUCAAUUUGGUACAUAUAACAUUCGUACUGUACGACGUAAAAUUGAUUUAAUGGACAUAAUCAACUUGGUACAUAUAACAUUUGCACUCCGCAUCUAAAUGCUACUGUUAAAGUAUUUAUAGUUUUUAGAAAGAGAUGAUUCAUAUAAUAUCAACAUAAUUUUGGACUUUCUUGGUAAAUACUACCUUCCUUAUCUAGCCAGUCCUCACUCUUCUGUUUCCAAGGUUUCUUCGGGAAAGCCAAACAGAAAACAUGGGCGGGAUGAAGCUUUACGGGAUGCCGAUGUCGACGAACACAGCGCGUGUGAUCGGUGUGUUGAAUGAAAAGAAUGUGGAGUAUGAAUUUAUCCUUGUGAAUCUCGGUAAAGGUGAGCAUAAACUGGAGAGUUUUCUCGCUAUUAACGUAAGUUUUCCCCCCUUUCUGGAUCCGGUGCUUUGAUUUCUAGGUUUUUGUUUGAUUUUUUUUUUUUUUAAUUAUUUUGCAGCCUUUCGGACAGAUUCCUGCUUUUGAAGACGGGGAUCUGAAGCUUUUUGGUAAGAAUCACUGCUGUAGAAUGAAAAAAAUAGGGUUGUGUAAUGCUAUUUUACCUAACAACACUGACGAUUUUUUUCGACUUUAACUAAGAACACAGCUUCCACUGGAAUUAACAUCUUUUUAUACUUGGAAUUCGAUUUUUAAAUAAUGAAGUCAUCAAUAUUAGUGCUACUUUAUUAUAAUUUAUAUGUAGUUAGUUGUGCUUAAAUGUAACUAAUUACAUUUAUAAAUCCUAAAACCUAAACUAAUUAUUGCAAUUUUUGUUAUUAACCCAUGACAUUAAAAUUGGAAAAUAAGAUAAAGAAAGAAUUGAAGAUAAAUCUCAUCUUACUGAAAAGUCUGAAAUAUUAAAUAUCUCAUGAUUUUUUUAAUGGAAAACACAUUAUAGAAAAAGUUACUGGUUAUUUUUUGAUUUAGAUAACUAUUUCGUAUUUUCAUUUGAUGUUUUUGCCUAUUGGAUUUAAUUCUCAAUCAUUUCAAUGACUUGAUCUUGAAUUUUAGAUCUUGGGCGUUUGUUUAUAUUUUUUUUGGAUUUUUCUCUAAUUCACCUACAUUAAAUUUGUAGUAGAAAAAAACAUCUUGAAUUGUUUAUUUUUUUACCAGAAUCAAGAGCCAUCACCAAGUACAUUGCUUAUAAGUACAUGUCUGAAGGAACAGACCUUCUCCACAUGGGUGACUUAAAUGAAGGUGCCACAGUAGAUCUCUGGGUCGAAGUAGAAGCACAACAAUACAAUCCUCAAAUAUCUGUGAUAGUGUAUGAGUGCUUGAUUAAGAAAUUAUUCGGUGAUGUAACCGAUGAAACCAAGGUUGAAGCUUGUUGUGCAAAGGUUGCACCCAUUCUUGAUGUGUAUGAAGAUAGACUCAAGACCUGCAAGUAUUUGGCUGGGGAAAAAUUCUCGCUUGCCGAUCUAAAUCACUGUGCUUACACUGAGUAUCUUAUGAGGACACCUAAAGCUGAUCUUAUAACG
Molecule: long non-coding RNA, 2720 nt
Filed under: Zostera marina
Lineage: Eukaryota; Viridiplantae; Streptophyta; Magnoliopsida; Alismatales; Zosteraceae
Description: long non-coding RNA (ZMAR_LNC002617)
Source: RNAcentral